This 450-nucleotide ribosomal RNA is filed under the name uncultured bacterium. RNAcentral's name for it is "bacterial SSU rRNA". It matches the Rfam family "Bacterial small subunit ribosomal RNA", at positions 354 to 796 of the family's 1533-position model. The record is from RNAcentral.
GUGGGGAAUCUUGCGCAAAUGCGGGAAACCGUGACGCAGCGACGCCGCGUGGGGGAAGAAGGCCUUCGGGUUGUAAACCUCUUUCAGGGGGGACGAAGCUACUCGGGUUAAUAGCCCAGAGGGUGACGGUACCUUCAGAAGAAGCCCCGGCUAACUACGUGCCAGCAGCCGCGGUAAUACGUAGGGGGCAAGCGUUGUCCGGAUUUAUUGGGCGUAAAGAGCGUGUAGGCGGCCAGACAAGUCUGCUGUGAAAACUCGAGGCUCAACCUCGAGCUGUCGGCGGAAACUGUUUGGCUAGAGUCCGGAAGAGGAGAGUGGAAUUCCUGGUGUAGCGGUGAAAUGCGCAGAUAUCAGGAAGAACACCUAUGGCGAAGGCAGCUCUCUGGGACGGUACUGACGCUGAGACGCGAAAGCGUGGGGAGCGAACAGGAUUAGAUACCCCUGUAGUCC